This 433-nucleotide ribosomal RNA is filed under the name uncultured bacterium. RNAcentral's name for it is "partial 16S ribosomal RNA". It matches the Rfam family "Bacterial small subunit ribosomal RNA", at positions 29 to 507 of the family's 1533-position model. The record is from RNAcentral.
AACGAACGCUGGCGGCAUGCCUAACACAUGCAAGUCGAACGAGACCUUCGGGUCUAGUGGCGCACGGGUGCGUAACGCGUGGGAACCUGCCUUUAGGUUCGGAAUAACUCAGAGAAAUUUGAGCUAAUACCGGAUGAUGUCUUCGGACCAAAGAUUUCUCGCCUUUAGAUGGGCCCGCGUUGGAUUAGCUAGUUGGUGGGGUAAAGGCCUACCAAGGCGACGAUCCAUAGCUGGGCUGAGAGGAUGAUCAGCCACACUGGGACUGAGACACGGCCCAGACUCCUACGGGAGGCAGCAGUGGGGAAUAUUGGACAAUGGGCGAAAGCCUGAUCCAGCAAUGCCGCGUGAGUGAUGAAGUCCUUAGGGUUGUAAAGCUCUUUUACCCGAGAUGAUAAUGACAGUAUCGGGAGAAUAAGCUCCGGCUAACUCCGUG